Molecule: ribosomal RNA, 301 nt
Filed under: uncultured bacterium
Lineage: Bacteria
Description: partial 16S ribosomal RNA
Rfam family: Bacterial small subunit ribosomal RNA
Source: RNAcentral
CAGUAGCCGCGGUAAUACGUAGGGUGCAAGCGUUAAUCGGAAUUAUUGGGCGUAAAGGGCUCGCAAGCGGUUUCUUAAGUCUGAUGUGAAAGCCCCCGGCUCAACCGGGGAGGGUCAUUGGAAACUGGGAAACUUGAGUGCAGAAGAGGAGAGUGGAAUUCCACGUGUAGCGGUGAAAUGCGUAGAGAUGUGGAGGAACACCAGUGGCGAAGGCGACUCUCUGGUCUGUAACUGACGCUGAGGAGCGAAAGCGUGGGGAGCGAACAGGAUUAGAUACCCGCGUAGUCCCUGUCUCUUAUAC